UACGAAGGGGGCUAGCGUUGCUCGGAAUCACUGGGCGUAAAGCGCACGUAGGCGGAUUGUUAAGUCCUGUGUGAAAUCCCCCGGCUCAACUGGGGAACUGCACAGGAAACUAGCGGGCUUGAGUUCGGGAGAGGGAAGCGGAAUUCCUGGUGUAGCGGUGAAAUGCGCAGAUAUCAGGAGGAACACCGAUGGCGAAGGCAGGUCUCUGGGCCACUACUGACGCUGAGAAGCGAAAGCAUGGGGAGCGAACAGG
This 253-nucleotide ribosomal RNA is filed under the name uncultured bacterium. RNAcentral describes it as "partial 16S ribosomal RNA". It matches the Rfam family "Bacterial small subunit ribosomal RNA", at positions 524 to 776 of the family's 1533-position model. The record is from RNAcentral.